GACGAACGCUGGCGGCGUGCUUAACACAUGCAAGUCGAACGGAAAGGCCCUGCUUUUGUGGGGUGCUCGAGUGGCGAACGGGUGAGUAACACGUGAGUAACCUGCCCUUGACUUUGGGAUAACUUCAGGAAACUGGGGCUAAUACCGGAUAGGAGCUCCUGCUGCAUGGUGGGGGUUGGAAAGUUUCGGCGGUUGGGGAUGGACUCGCGGCUUAUCAGCUUGUUGGUGGGGUAGUGGCUUACCAAGGCUUUGACGGGUAGCCGGCCUGAGAGGGUGACCGGCGACAUUGGGACUGAGAUACGGACCAGACCCCUACGGGAGACAGCAGUGGGGAAUAUUGGACAAUGGGCGGAAGCCUGAUGCAGCAACGCCGCGUGCGGGAUGACGGCCUUCGGGUUGUAAACCGCUUUCGCCUGUGACGAAGCGUGAGUGACGGUAAUGGGUAAAGAAGCACCGGCUAACUACGUG
RNAcentral lists this ribosomal RNA (468 nucleotides) under uncultured bacterium. RNAcentral's name for it is "partial 16S ribosomal RNA". It matches the Rfam family "Bacterial small subunit ribosomal RNA", at positions 28 to 507 of the family's 1533-position model. The record is from RNAcentral.